AUGUGAUCGUCUCUCGCAUAUCAAUAAGCGGAGGAAAAGAAACUAACAAGGAUUCCCUUAGUAACGGCGAGUGAAGCGGGAAGAGCUCAAAUUUGAAAUCUUCAAGGUUUUACCUUGACGAAUUGUAGUUUAAAGAAGUGUUUUCUGUUGAAGUUUUGGUAAAAGUUCUUUGGAAUAGGACAUCAUAGAGGGUGAGAAUCCCGUAUUUGACCAUUAUUUUCAGCUGUGUGAUACACUUUCAAAGAGUCGGAUUGUUUGGGAAUGCAGUCCAAAAUGGGCGGUAAAUUUCAUCUAAAGCUAAAUAUUGGCGAGAGACCGAUAGCGAACAAGUACCGUGAGGGAAAGAUGAAAAGAACUUUGAAAAGAGAGUUAAACAGUACGUGAAAUUGUCAAAAGGGAAGCGUUUGACACCAGUGUUGUUUUCUCGAAAAUCAAUUAAAAAGAGUUUAGAUUUUGUUGUGUAUUGACCUUAACAGCUUGCAUUUCAAUUUUCUUGCUUUUUUUAAUGCACUUUUCGUUUAACAAGUCAACAUCAGUUUCUUUUGUUGUAAAAAGGUCAUUGGAAGGUGGCUUUCUUUUCGGAGAAAGUGUUUAUAGCCUUUGACUCCUGCAAUCGGAGAGACUGAGGUCUGCAGCGUAGAUCCUUCGGGGUUAGAUACAUUUGUGCUAAGUUAUAGCUUUUUAUAGACAACUUGUUGACUAUGAUUAGUCUUGUAGCUUACUCGCUUAUGCUAUUUUACCUACGCUUAGGAUGUUGAAGAUGUAGCACAUCAU
This 774-nucleotide ribosomal RNA is filed under the name uncultured Neocallimastigales. Its description in RNAcentral is "partial large subunit ribosomal RNA". It matches the Rfam family "Eukaryotic large subunit ribosomal RNA", at positions 24 to 635 of the family's 3401-position model. Lineage: Eukaryota; Fungi; Neocallimastigomycota; Neocallimastigomycetes; Neocallimastigales. The record is from RNAcentral.